UACGGAGGUCUCAAGCGUUGUUCGGAUUCAUUGGGCGUAAAGGGUGCGUAGGUGGCGCCGUAAGUCGGGUGUGAAAUUUCGGAGCUUAACUCCGAAACUGCAUUCGAUACUGCGGUGCUUGAGGACUGGAGAGGAGACUGGAAUUCAUGGUGUAGCAGUGAAAUGCGUAGAGAUCAUGAGGAAGACCAGUGGCGAAGGCGGGUCUCUGGACAGUUCCUGACACUGAGGCACGAAGGCCAGGGGAGCAAACGGG
RNAcentral lists this ribosomal RNA (253 nucleotides) under uncultured bacterium. RNAcentral's name for it is "partial 16S ribosomal RNA". It matches the Rfam family "Bacterial small subunit ribosomal RNA", at positions 524 to 776 of the family's 1533-position model. The record is from RNAcentral.